Molecule: long non-coding RNA, 740 nt
Organism: Corticium candelabrum
Lineage: Eukaryota; Metazoa; Porifera; Homoscleromorpha; Homosclerophorida; Plakinidae
Exons: 3
Source: RefSeq, a predicted model, not a curated record
AAGGUACCUAAUGUGUUCGAAUCGACCAUCUCAUCUACAAGUCACUACGCAUUCUGGCUCAUCAAUUUAAGAUCAAAGCGGACUAGAAACAACCACAAUCUGGACGACCUAUGACCACAUUGCCAAAUGAUGAGUAAGCUUAGUUGCAAGAACGGAAGUUGACCUAGGUCACAAGACAAUCAGGCCACCACAGAUUGCGCGUUGUGAAGAUAGAUAAAUAGCGACGGUCAUAACUCUCAUGUGACUACUCACUGAGCUUCAUUGAUCACAGAGCAGUCGGUGGAGCGGUUGGUGACGGGCGUAGGACAUUAUUGUACCAACUGGAUUGAAUGCUCGUUGCACUGCUGCCAUGAGACCCGCUCAGAUCACAUGUGCGAUGGUUGCCAGUGUUCUCAUGAUGAUCGAGUCCAAUGACAAGCAUUUUAGAUGUGGUUAUGGCCCUCACAACUACAGUGUCCACUCUCCUGGGUUUGCUGUCUAUCAGCUGGUAGGACAACGUGUGAAUAUCUCACUAAUUGACAAGAACAACAGCUCUGUGCGCAUCAGCUGGAACAUCCUGGCGGGGAAGUCUCCGUUAACGAACACAGAAUUGCGAAUGCAUCUUGACAAUAGAAUCGUUAUAAGAAAACGAAACAGUCUGACUAUUAGUCUAGUAACAAAACAAUUGGAUGGAAUUAUAUUUAUUGGUAAAUCUAGAAUUGACACAAAACAGCAGCACGGAAAGAGGGUAUUUAUAAACG